CUCAUUUCAGGGUUGGCAGUGGAGACAAGAAUAUCUUGCUGGGGAUCUUGCUGUACCUGGGACCUUCCAAGGUUCUAUCUAGGACGAGAUGAUGAUUGGAAUGGCCAACAUAGAUUUACUAAGGGCAAACAGCCUGACAAGCCUGACAGCCUGGUAGGAUGGAAAAACUGAUUCUGUGGAUCAGGAUUGGCGUGGAUGGCUUCCAUCCUGUCUCUCUCACAAAUAUAAGGACAUUGCUUGAUGGAUGCAAUCCUUCUCUUCCCCACCACCAUGCAAAAUCAGAUGACUCUAAGAAAACUUGAAAUCAGACUCAAAGAGCAACUGAGGCCAUUUUCCUUGCGCUGAAACUGUGACAAAAAGGUGGAGGGCAUGUAAAAUGGAGGUGGCAGUGCUGAUCUUCCACUAACAUCUGGUCAUUAAUUCCAUCUUCAGAGACUUCCAAAAUGCUGGCAAACACAGCUCCAGCUGGCAUGGGGACUGUUCUUUCUCCAAGAGCAGGUAAAUAGGCCAGAUGGUCCCUAAUUUUACUACUGUUUCUAGUAUGGAUGAUGAGCCUUGGUCCCUACUGAGCAAUAUGCCUUCCAGACGCUGAACAUUUUUAUUCACCUUUUGGCCACAUGGAAAUAACGUAAUUAUUAGAAGAGUAGUAAAAUGAUUAGGUAAUUUGAGAGUGAGAAGCAAACAAAAGGCAGCAAUGGUAACCUUGCUUUUCCUCUUUCAGAAUGGUAAAGUCUAGAAAUCCUUUCCAAAAAACUGCAUUUCCAUUUGUUUGCUGUAAACCAAAAUUGUUUAACUUUUAGGAAAGAACUGGAAGAAACUGUUUUGUCUUAUCCACUUGUUUUCUUUUCAGAAAAGGAACA
Molecule: long non-coding RNA, 860 nt
Organism: Lagopus muta (rock ptarmigan)
Lineage: Eukaryota; Metazoa; Chordata; Aves; Galliformes; Phasianidae
Exons: 3
Source: RefSeq, a predicted model, not a curated record